Molecule: transfer RNA, 73 nt
Filed under: Stappia indica
Lineage: Bacteria; Pseudomonadati; Pseudomonadota; Alphaproteobacteria; Hyphomicrobiales; Stappiaceae
Also listed under: 2 other names
Rfam family: tRNA
About the family: Transfer RNA (tRNA) molecules are approximately 80 nucleotides in length.
Source: Rfam by way of RNAcentral
GAGCCUGUAGCUCAGUUGGUAGAGCAACUGACUUUUAAUCAGUAGGUCCAGGGUUCGAGCCCCUGCGGGCUCA